UAAGCGUAGACGGUGGAUGCCUUGGCAGUCAGAGGCGAUGAAGGACGUAUUAACUUGCGAAAAGCCCAGAUAAGGCAGUAAAAGCCAUUUGAAUCUGGGAUAUCCGAAUGGGGAAACCCACCUGCAUAAGCAGGUAUCUUAGCGUGAAUACAUAGCGCUAAGAGGCGAACUCGGGGAACUGAAACAUCUAAGUACCCGAAGGAAAAGAAAUCAAUUGAGAUUCCGGCAGUAGCGGCGAGCGACCCCGGAUUAGCCCUUAAGCAGACUUGGCGUUAGGUGAACAGGUUGGAAAACCUGGCAAUAAAGGGUGAUAGCCCCGUAACCGACGGCGCCAUAUUUGUGAAAACGAGUAGGACGGGACACGUGAUAUCUUGUCUGAACAUGGGGGGACCAUCCUCCAAGGCUAAAUACUCCUGACUGACCGAUAGUGAACCAGUACCGUGAGGGAAAGGCGAAAAGAACCCCUGUGAGGGGAGUGAAAUAGAACCUGAAACCGUCUACGUACAAGCAGUGGGAGCC
Molecule: ribosomal RNA, 519 nt
Filed under: Salinivibrio costicola subsp. alcaliphilus
Lineage: Bacteria; Pseudomonadati; Pseudomonadota; Gammaproteobacteria; Vibrionales; Vibrionaceae
Description: bacterial LSU rRNA
Rfam family: Bacterial large subunit ribosomal RNA
Source: RNAcentral